RNAcentral lists this unclassified non-coding RNA (404 nucleotides) under Hevea brasiliensis (rubber tree). Lineage: Eukaryota; Viridiplantae; Streptophyta; Magnoliopsida; Malpighiales; Euphorbiaceae. The record is from RNAcentral.
UUUUUAAUUCUCUAUGUUGUGUUUCUUAUAGCUAUUUUUCAUUAAUGCUUCAAGAGAAACACAACAUAGAGAAUUAAAAAUAAUAAUAAUAAUCACAAAGACUAAAAAGUACUCUUCACCUAUUACAAACCAAAACUGAUGCCACUACUCCGUCCAAGACAAUAAUGACUCCAUAUUCCCUAACUUAGACCCAAAAAUAAAAAAUAAAAACAAAAAUAAAAUGGAGUAUGAAAGCAUGUCAAAGUCGAGAAGGAAUCACAGGGAGAUACCCACGGAGGAAUAUCUAAAAUUUACACCAAAAGACUAAAUGUUAAAAGUCGGUUUUUUAAUGCAGGAAAUAAAAUUUCCAGUAGAUGACCUUCAACUUUUACUCUCAAGCAGAUUGCAAAGAAAUUCCAACCAUU